RNAcentral lists this ribosomal RNA (468 nucleotides) under uncultured bacterium. RNAcentral describes it as "partial 16S ribosomal RNA". It matches the Rfam family "Bacterial small subunit ribosomal RNA", at positions 28 to 507 of the family's 1533-position model. The record is from RNAcentral.
GACGAACGCUGGCGGCGUGCCUAACACAUGCAAGUCGAACGGAAAGGCCCUGCUUUUGUGGGGUGCUCGAGUGGCGAACGGGUGAGUAACACGUGAGUAACCUGCCCUUGACUUUGGGAUAACUUCAGGAAACUGGGGCUAAUACCGGAUAGGAGCUCCUGCUGCAUGGUGGGGGUUGGAAAGUUUCGGCGGUUGGGGAUGGACUCGCGGCUUAUCAGCUUGUUGGUGGGGUAGUGGCUUACCAAGGCUUUGACGGGUAGCCGGCCUGAGAGGGUGACCGGCCACAUUGGGACUGAGAUACGGCCCAGACUCCUACGGGAGGCAGCAGUGGGGAAUAUUGCACAAUGGGCGGAAGCCUGAUGCAGCAACACCGCGUGCGGGAUGACGGCCUUCGGGUUGUAAACCGCUUUCGCCUGUGACGAAGCGUGAGUGACGGUAAUGGGUAAAGAAGCACCGGCUAACUACGUG